GAUGAACGCUGGCGGCGUGCCUAAUACAUGCAAGUCGAGCGAACGGACGAGAAGCUUGCUUUUCUGAUGUUAGCGGCGGACGGGUGAGUAACACGUGGAUAACCUACCUAUAAGACUGGGAUAACUUCGGGAAACCGGAGCUAAUACCGGAUAAUAUUUUGAACCGCAUGGUUCAAAAGUGAAAGACGGUCUUGCUGUCACUUAUAGAUGGAUCCGCGCUGCAUUAGCUAGUUGGUAAGGUAACGGCUUACCAAGGCAACGAUGCAUAGCCGACCUGAGAGGGUGAUCGGCCACACUGGAACUGAGACACGGUCCAGACUCCUACGGGAGGCAGCAGUAGGGAAUCUUCCGCAAUGGGCGAAAGCCUGACGGAGCAACGCCGCGUGAGUGAUGAAGGUCUUCGGAUCGUAAAACUCUGUUAUUAGGGAAGAACAUAUGUGUAAGUAACUGUGCACAUCUUGACGGUACCUAAUCAGAAAGCCACGGCUAACUACGUGCCAGCAGCCGCGGUAAUACGUAGGUGGCAAGCGUUAUCCGGAAUUAUUGGGCGUAAAGCGCGCGUAGGCGGUUUUUUAAGUCUGAUGUGAAAGCCCACGGCUCAACCGUGGAGGGUCAUUGGAAACUGGAAAACUUGAGUGCAGAAGAGGAAAGUGGAAUUCCAUGUGUAGCGGUGAAAUGCGCAGAGAUGUGGAGGAACACCAGUGGCGAAGGCGACUUUCUGGUCUGUAACUGACGCUGAUGUGCGAAAGCGUGGGGAUCAAACAGGAUUAGAUACCCUGGUAGUCCACGCCGUAAACGAUGAGUGCUAAGUGUUAGGGGGUUUCCGCCCCUUAGUGCUGCAGCUAACGCAUUAAGCACUCCGCCUGGGGAGUACGACCGUAAGGUUGAAACUCAAAGGAAUUGACGGGGGCCCGCACAAGCGGUGGAGCAUGUGGUUUAAUUCGAAGCAACGCGAAGAACCUUACCAAAUCUUGACAUCCUUUGACAACUCUAGAGAUAGAGCCUUCCCCUUCGGGGGACAAAGUGACAGGUGGUGCAUGGUUGUCGUCAGCUCGUGUCGUGAGAUGUUGGGUUAAGUCCCGCAACGAGCGCAACCCCUAAGCUUAGUUGCCAUCAUUAAGUUGGGCACUCUAAGUUGACUGCCGGUGACAAACCGGAGGAAGGUGGGGAUGACGUCAAAUCAUCAUGCCCCUUAUGAUUUGGGCUACACACGUGCUACAAUGGACAAUACAAAGGGCAGCGAAACCGCGAGGUCAAGCAAAUCCCAUAAAGUUGUUCUCAGUUCGGAUUGUAGUCUGCAACUCGACUACAUGAAGCUGGAAUCGCUAGUAAUCGUAGAUCAGCAUGCUACGGUGAAUACGUUCCCGGGUCU
Molecule: ribosomal RNA, 1372 nt
Filed under: uncultured bacterium
Lineage: Bacteria
Description: bacterial SSU rRNA
Rfam family: Bacterial small subunit ribosomal RNA
Source: RNAcentral